RNAcentral lists this ribosomal RNA (499 nucleotides) under uncultured bacterium. Its description in RNAcentral is "bacterial SSU rRNA". It matches the Rfam family "Bacterial small subunit ribosomal RNA", at positions 791 to 1289 of the family's 1533-position model. The record is from RNAcentral.
UAGUCCACGCUGUAAACGAUGUCUACUUGGAGGUUGUUGUCUUGAAUGAUGGCUUUCGGAGCUAACGCGUUAAGUAGACCGCCUGGGGAGUACGGCCGCAAGGUUAAAACUCAAAUGAAUUGACGGGGGCCCGCACAAGCGGUGGAGCAUGUGGUUUAAUUCGAUGCAACGCGAAGAACCUUACCUACUCUUGACAUCUAGAGAAGCCAGCGGAGACGCAGGUGUGCCUUCGGGAACUCUAAGACAGGUGCUGCAUGGCUGUCGUCAGCUCGUGUUGUGAAAUGUUGGGUUAAGUCCCGCAACGAGCGCAACCCUUAUCCUUGUUUGCCAGCACGUAAUGGUGGGAACUCCAGGGAGACUGCCGGUGAUAAACCGGAGGAAGGUGGGGACGACGUCAAGUCAUCGUGGCCCUUACGCCUAGGGCUACACACGUGCUACAAUGGUGCAUACAGAGAGUCGCGAUCCGGCAACGGUCAGCCAAUCUCACAAAGUGCAUCUC